AUUGAACGCUGGCGGCAUGCUUUACACAUGCAAGUCGAACGGUAACAGGUCUUUCGGGAUGCUGACGAGUGGCGAACGGGUGAGUAAUGUAUCGGAACGUGCCCAGUAGUGGGGGAUAACUACUCGAAAGAGUGGCUAAUACCGCAUGAGAUCUCUGGAUGAAAGCGGGGGACCGUAAGGCCUCGCGCUACUGGAGCGGCCGAUAUCAGAUUAGGUAGUUGGUAGGGUAAGAGCCUACCAAGCCAACGAUCUGUAGCUGGUCUGAGAGGACGACCAGCCACACUGGGACUGAGACACGGCCCAGACUCCUACGGGAGGCAGCAGUGGGGAAUUUUGGACAAUGGGCGCAAGCCUGAUCCAGCAAUGCCGCGUGCAGGACGAAGCCUUCGGGUUGUAAACUGCUUUUGUACGGAACGAAAAGCCUCUGGUUAAUACCUAGGGGUCAUGACGGUACCGUAAGAAUAAGCACCGGCUAACUACGUG
RNAcentral lists this ribosomal RNA (483 nucleotides) under uncultured bacterium. RNAcentral describes it as "bacterial SSU rRNA". It matches the Rfam family "Bacterial small subunit ribosomal RNA", at positions 30 to 507 of the family's 1533-position model. The record is from RNAcentral.